UACGGAGGGGGCUAGCGUUGUUCGGAAUUACUGGGCGUAAAGCGCACGUAGGCGGCUUUGUAAGUUAGAGGUGAAAGCCCGGGGCUCAACUCCGGAAUUGCCUUUAAGACUGCAUCGCUAGAAUUGUGGAGAGGUAAGUGGAAUUCCGAGUGUAGAGGUGAAAUUCGUAGAUAUUCGGAAGAACGCCAGUGGCGAAGGCGACUUACUGGACACAUAUUGACGCUGAGGUGCGAAAGCGUGGGGAGCAAACAGG
RNAcentral lists this ribosomal RNA (253 nucleotides) under uncultured bacterium. RNAcentral's name for it is "partial 16S ribosomal RNA". It matches the Rfam family "Bacterial small subunit ribosomal RNA", at positions 524 to 776 of the family's 1533-position model. The record is from RNAcentral.